AUUGAACGCUGGCGGCAUGCCUUACACAUGCAAGUCGAACGGUAACAGGUCUUCGGAUGCUGACGAGAGGCGAACGGGUGAGUAAUGCAUCGGAACGUGCCCAGUAGUGGGGGAUAGCCCGGCGAAAGCCGGAUUAAUACCGCAUACGACCUGAGGGUGAAAGGGGGGGAUCGCAAGACCUCUCGCUAUUGGAGCGGCCGAUGGCAGAUUAGCUAGUUGGUGGGGUAAAGGCCUACCAAGGCAACGAUCUGUAGUUGGUCUGAGAGGACGACCAGCCACACUGGGACUGAGACACGGCCCAGACUCCUACGGGAGGCAGCAGUGGGGAAUUUUGGACAAUGGGCGCAAGCCUGAUCCAGCAAUGCCGCGUGCAGGAAGAAGGCCUUCGGGUUGUAAACUGCUUUUGUCAGGGAAGAAAUCUUCUGGGUUAAUACCUCGGGAGGAUGACGGUACCUGAAGAAUAAGCACCGGCUAACUACGUGCCAGCAGCCGCCGUAA
RNAcentral lists this ribosomal RNA (498 nucleotides) under uncultured bacterium. Its description in RNAcentral is "partial 16S ribosomal RNA". It matches the Rfam family "Bacterial small subunit ribosomal RNA", at positions 30 to 523 of the family's 1533-position model. The record is from RNAcentral.